This 11433-nucleotide long non-coding RNA is filed under the name Capsicum annuum. Its description in RNAcentral is "long non-coding RNA (CANN_LNC013445)". Lineage: Eukaryota; Viridiplantae; Streptophyta; Magnoliopsida; Solanales; Solanaceae. The record is from RNAcentral.
UGGUCAUUACUUUCUUGCUUUGCAUAAACCCGCUUGAGAGUCCAAACGGACUUUUUCCCUUGCGUUUCGCAGUGGGCCAUGGAGGCCCAUCCUUUAGGAGACUUUGAAAAGCAAAUUGCAUGGCAUACAGAUACAAGAAGUCGAAAGAGGAAUAAUGGGUUAAAAUCCCAUACUUAAAGCGACGAUGAAGCCCGAGCCUCAUUUCUGUUUCUUUAUUUAAUGUCAUUAUCUACCUAUUGUUGUCAUUUUAUUAUUAUUUAUUUCCUCUUUUUUCUGUCAUUAUUCAUUCAUUUAGGCCUCGAAGCCGAAUUUGUAUUUAAUAUAGGUGAAGUGAGACUCGAGCUAAAGCCUCGCAAACAAAGAAUUAGGGUAGGUGAAAAUGGGUCGAAAACCAAACUAGAUUAGGACAGGGUCGAUGGUUUGGGCUUAAAAUCCCAAAUCACCACUUCCCCGCUUUUCCCCUUUUCCUUUCAUUUACUUGUUUACUUAUCUCUUUGCGAACCUAGUUAAAUCCCUAACUAAGUCGCUAAAAAACUGAUUUCGUGAAAACCUUUUCCUUAGUCAAUUACUUUUCCAACAAACCGAUUUUCCAAAGUUAAUCAAAAGAAUGUUUUCAAACAGUCUAGAUAACCGCAAGUUAGUGGACGUUGAAGGUGCCUAAAACCUUCCUAAAACGUUAAUAGGAACCUCUUACUCAGAAUCUCUAAGUUAAAACGAUUUUUCUGUUUUGAUCGUUUUAAGUAACUCUCUAAAGGUUUCUUAAUUCCUUUUCAAAUUUAAGUGGCGACUCUAUCAAAAGUCAAAAAUUUCCGCAAAACAGAAAUGGCGACUCUGCUGGGGACCUCUAACUAGGUUCUAACCAAAUGUUUAAUUUCGUCUUUUGAUUAACUGUUUAUGUAUUUAUGUGAGUCGAUUCUGUAGAGUUUAAUUAUCGCAUCUCAUGGCAUAUUCCUACAUCAUUUAAACUAUUUUGGGGUUUCGUGGGUAUCCCGGCCCCUAUUGAUCAAUUCCAAAAAUGUGUUAGAAAUACAAACAGUUUAUUAGCACGUGAGUCGUCUGAUGGCUGUUUGUAUUUUCAAACUCAAGUUGUCCGCUUGAGAACUAGUAUUCAAACCCACUCUAGAUACCUAGGAUAGAGCGAAACCAAAACCCUAUUUCAGGCAUGAGCUUAGGAUGACCCAAUACCCAAGCGGGGUAUUUGGCCCAUUAGAAAAUUUGUCAUGCGUCUAUUGACCCCGAGUCAAUUAAUGACAAACCAUAUUUAUGUGUUGAAGAAAAUGUAUGCCUGUCUAAUUCAAUCUAUUAUCCAUUGGGGGUCGGGAGAAGACUUGCUUUACUCACUUUUGUAUAAGUAUGCCUCAAUCGUACACCAAUUGACGAAGGAAUUGAAGCAAGUUAAGCAAGAAAUUGAUCGAUUUGGGAGGUUGCAUCUAAGGCACAGUUUGAACAUCAAUGGAUGUCACCAAUAUAAGAAAUGGACGAAGCUAAGAAGGUGAAAGUUGAUAGAAGAAGCACUCAGGAAUUAGUAUUUUCUAUCCCCAGUGUGGGAACGUGUCUUUUUCAUGUUAUUUCCCUUUCCCUAAAGAUUGUAUCCCUUUUAUUAUAUAUUUUGUAGGAAUUUAUGCCCUUUUAGAGUUUACAAAAGUUGGGGGAUAAUUGAUUGACCUUAAGCAAGCAUAUAUUUUUUUUCAAAAAUCGUAGGCCUGAACCCUUGGCUCAAAAAGGGUCACCCCAGCUAGGCUAUGCAUUAUUAUGUUUUGUGUGAUAUAACUAUUUUAUGUGCUUAUGUGCAUUUGUUUGGAUCAAAGGCAAGUUUAUCCACUAUGUCGUAUGGAUGAAUUUGGCUAUGACUCAAACAAAUCUAUGUGGUUAUUUCCUGUCAAAUAUUUUGCAUUACUUAUCACAUACGGAAACUAACACAUCUGCCUUUGAGUUGUUUUACUUUACAGAUAAUAGAAAUUACUCUGUGUUAACAUAAACUGGCAGAACAUCUCUACUUCACCCGAUCGAAAGCGCACAAAAUCCCAUCCUCUAACAAUCAUUCAAAAAUGAUAGAAAAUUAUGAAGAAAGCACACUGACUAUCCGGGACAAUGUGAUAGCAGAGCAGAAUAAGAUGAUUGCGGAACUUGCAAGAAAGUUAGAAAUACUUCAGAAGAAAUAAAUCACACUCUGGAUUUGGCUAACUUGGCCAUUACCGUCAAUGCCCCCGCUCCAGGAGGACACAGGACUCCACUCCAAAUUCCUCCCCUCAGUACCCCUACUCUUGGGGAUCAGCCAAAUAAUGUAUUGUCCGUCUCCGCUCCUCCAUUUGUCCAAAAUACCAAUCAUGAAAAUAACCCAGACGUCUACCCUCUGCAAAAUCCACAGAACCCGUCUCUGAAUCCAUUCCCAAAUCCUCAAAACACAUUUUCAAAUCAACAAAAUGCAUUCCCAAAUCCGCAAGAUUCACUCUCAAACCCACAAAAUACGUCAAACCUACCUUCAAAUCCCCCAAAUUCAUUUUCAAAUCCACAAAAUCCUUCUCAGAUUCCGUUAAACUAAUCGCAAAGUCCGCAUAACCUUCCCAAUUUCCAAAACUUCCUCCCCACUUACCAACCAAAUUCCUUUCAUCCAUAAAAUCAAGCCUCCCUUCCAAAUCCCUCUCAGGCCAUCGUAUCCCCUGAUAUCUAUGAACUCCUUUCUAAUUGCGAGAUGGACCAUUACGAGGAGAAUGAGAAAGAGUGGAGGACCGAGCAUGAAAGAAAUUUACUAGCUAUGGAGGAAGAGAUCAUGAGGAUCAAAGAGUCUCAUGGAGUCAGGGACCACGACAGUUUGGGGUAUGACGAUUUAUGUGUUCACCCUGGAGUAGACCUACUGGAUGGGUACAAAAUUCCUAAGUUUGAAAUAUUUGACGGUACCAAAAAUCCAAUGGACUAUCUGAGAAGGUACUGUGAGUAACUGAUAGGGAUAGGUAAAAAUGAGGCAUUGUUGAUAUGCCUAUUCAGUCGAAGUUUAAGCAGCAAAGCCUUAGAAUAGUUCAUGUCUCAGGAGCCGAAAAGAUGGACAGGAUGGAAAGAAUUAGCCAAGGUUUUCCUUGACAGGUUUGCAUUCAACAUUGAAAUAGUCCGUGAUCGAUAUUCACUAGAUCGGAUCAAACGGAGGAAUGAUAAGAGUUUUCGAGACUAUGCUUUUCGUUGGAGGAAAGAAGCUGCCAAAGUGCAACCCCCAUGUCCGAGGAAGAAAUGGUAUCCAUGUUCUCUCGCACACAAGAAAUAGAAUAUUAUACCAGGAUGAUGUCAGAUGUUAGGGAAACUUUUACGAAUUUAGUAAAAAUAGGAGAAUCAUUGGAAGAAGGUAUUCGUACAGGGAAAAUUGCCAAGACCCCGGCAUUAUCUAGGGCUGCCAUGUUUUCGAAGAAGAAAAAGGAAGAUGUAGGCACGAUUUCUGCUAAUCUUAUUGCAAAAAACAAAAAAGAAGAUCAACUCUAGGAAUGUUUUCUCUUCUCCGCCAUCACCAAGCUUUCAACAUGUAUUCUAUGCCCACCCCCAAUACCAAGCUCUACAGCUAAAUAUCUCCCCCCAAUACCGAGCCCCACUCCCAAACCUCCAAUCCUCAUACCAAGCUCCACAGGCAAAUAUCUUUCCCCAAUACCUAGUUCCACAUCCAAAUUAUCAGUCUUAUUUCCAAUCCACUCCUCAAAAUAACCCAACAAAUUCCCAAGCGCCUCCAAAUUAUCACCAAGUACCUCCUCCUACAAAUCAAAUCCAUUAUAACCCCCCACAUCCAAACCACGAAAAGAAAUUCCCCAAAACUUCACACCACAAAAUGAAAGUCGCACCCAAUUUUUUGAAAGAUUGAAGAAAUGCUGGUCAUUUGCAACCAAUACAGCCAAGGACUGUCAAUCCUAACUCUUGAUUUUUUAAUGCAAGUCAACAUUGUUCCUAUCAUUAAGGAGCAGUGAGGCACAGUACUAAGGAUUGUAUCUACCUGAAACAUAGGAUCCAGGAUUUAAUCGAUCAUAAGGUCAUCACGCUCGAGGCACCUACACCAAAUGUUAAUAGUAAUCCAUUGCCCAACCAAUGGGGACCUAUAGUUAACAUGAUUGAAAUAGAGGAUGAAUAGAUGUUAAAUAAUGAUGGUCUUGGGGAUGGGAUAGGAAAUCUGUUCAAGGGAUGCAAUGUUGUACCGGAAGAUUUUUUAAAACACAGUUGGGUAAAGAAGGUUGCACCAGGAGAGGCUUUACAAAAUUAGACUUCCACUCUGCUCCUAAUUCGUCACCCGUCGUGGUAGAUGGAAGGGCAAUUACUAAUAGUUUUUAAAAUCGGUGAUGAUCCAGAGAAGGCCCCAUGAUCCACCCUUUUAUGUUUCAAAUUUUUGUUUCGUGUUUUAAAACUUUCAAAAAGGCAUGGGCCCACAUUUAUGUGGGUCAUAAUCCAUGGUUUUUAUUUAUUUAUUUUCGAAAAGGCCUCCCUUUAUUUAAGAAGUUAUUUUUUUAAAAUAUGAUUAUCUAGCUUGGUUUAUUUUGGUAGCAUUAAUUUAAAAACCUGCCAAUGUCAUGUCAUGUCAAGGGUUAGACGAACAAGGCAAAGGAAAUAAUGAUGAACAGAUAAGGUGAUAAGGAGCAGCUAGUAGUAGAUAUAGAGGAAUGUGAAAAUCAAAAGAAGCCCAACCUGGAAGAGCUCUGAUUUUGUCAUAGAUGGAUAGCACAGAGUGGACCAAACCAAUCAAUUCUGAUGUGGUAAAGAGAUAUUAUGUUUGAAGGACGUUCUAGUUUUCGUGUUUCUUUAGUUAAUUUACUUGUAAUCACGUUCGUAGUAAUGUUUUUUUCUAGUAUGUAACUGCCUAGAAUCCUUUCCCUUUAUGUACGAACUACGUUUGACCUAAAUUCCCAAGAAAGGGAUUCAUAAUCGGCCUAUGUCGGCUUCGGUCAACCCCUUGGGACAAUUUAUCCUUUCCCUUUAUUUACGAACUAUGUUUGACCUGAAUUCCCAAGAAAGGGAUACGUUGGCGGCCUAUAUUGGCUUCGGUCAACCCCUUAGGACAAUUUAUCCUUUCCCUUUAUGUAUGAACUACGUUUGACCUGAAUUCCUAAGAAAGGGAUACGUAGGCGGCUGCUUUGGUCAACCCUUAGGACAAUUUAUCCUUUCACCCUAUGUAUGAACUACGUGAUGACCUGAAUGCCGAAUAAAAGGGAUACGUAGGUGGACUAUGUUGGCAUUGGUCAACCCAUUAAUUUCUUUUGUAUAUCCCUAGCGUAGUUCUGAACUACAUUUGACCUGAUUCAUGUUUCAACGAGAUACGUAGGUGCCCCAAUGGCCCGAUCAUAUAACCCCAGAAAAUGGAAACUGGGGAAGAAGUUUUGAGAAGGAAUCUCGAAAAUUCACAAGAGUAGAUCGGCAUCCAACAAAGAGACUGAAGAUCAGCAAAGACUUCAGAUCCACUCAGAUUGGUAUCAUCUCAAACAACUCUAAACUGGGGCAAAAAUUUUGAGGGAAGACCUCAAAAUUUCCACCAGAUGCUGGAACAUAUCUCAAAUUCCCCAGCACGAGAGGUUAAGGCCAAACUUUUAAAGUAGUCAACUGCGACAAAGUCUAGGCAAGCUCAAUCUCUUUCUAUGAUAGAACUACUUGAAGAAAACCUCUAACAAUGAUCAUGAGCUUUGGGAAUCAUUCGUCGAAUAUAGUCAAAACCAUGAGGAGGACGUUCAUUGAGCUAGUACAUGACAUGACUGGCAGAGAUUUUCUAAAGUUUUACAGAAGCUUUUGAAACUAUUUUCUAAAAAUUAAGACUAUUUUCAAAAAUCUUACAACUCACUUAUUUAGUACUUACCUAGACAUCACUCGGGAUGAAGUGUCAGGACGGAAGUACCGAUAUGGCAAAAUGCCCAAGAGAUGGCGAACAGCAAAUCAAGGAUCGAAGAAGGUCAACACAGAGUAAUUUCAUUAAAACUAAUCAUUUUUCUGUGGAUGCAGGGAUCAAUACAAAAAAAUGAGAGUUUCUUUCAAAAAUCCCCAGCAAAUUGGGAGCCACACCAGAGUACCAAUGCUCAAGAAUGGUAAUUUAGGGUAGCCCUAAAAAUGGGUUUAAUACCCAUUUAUUGAGGACCUUUUGAUUUGUCCACCUCAUUUCUUGAGAUCAUGGAACACAAACAAAGGUGUAUUGUCUUCUUUGUAAAUAUUGUAUUUAGAAGUUGCCUAAAAAUAGUCGCUAGCAAAACCGACUUUGUGUCUACUAAUCAUCUACCUUGAGUACAAGUACAUGUAGAAAGAAAGACGCAGACAAAUGAACUCAGGUAAAAUUAUUUUAAAAUUUGCCAAGAGGGCCAUUGCAUAUCAUUGCCGCAAAGACCAUUACAUAUCAUUUCCUCAAAGGCCAUUACAUAUAAUUGCCGCAAAGGCCAUUACAUAUCAUUGCCUCAAAGGCCAUUUCAUAUCAUUGCCACAAGGGCCAUUGCAUAUCAUUGCCGCAAAGGCCAUAGAAUAUCAUUGCCGCAAGGGCCAUUGCAUAUUAUUGCCACAAAGGCCAUUACAUAUCAUUGCCGCAAAGGCCAUUACAUAUCAUUACCACAAAGGCCAUUACAUAUCAUUGCUGCAAAAGCCAUUACAUAUCAUUUCCGCAGAGGCCAUUACAUAUCAUUGCCGCAAUAGCCAUUACAUAUCAUUGUCACAAAGGCCAUUACAUAUCAUUGCUGCGAGGGCAAUCGCAUAUCAUUGCCGCAAGGGCCAUCUUAUAUCAUCACCCAAGAUGGCUGUUCAAUAUAUAUGUGGAUGCGCUAGACACAAUGCUGGUGUCGAGGAUAUCAUCAGCAUUCAAUAUAUCUAUUGACGUGCUAGACACAAUGUUGGCAUCAAGGAUAUCUUAUUAUUUUAUAAAUCAACAUCUUAAUGCAUCAAGAGCACACGAUUUGAAAGGACGCCUUUAAGUUGUUAUCUAAGGAUGAAUGAUAUAUAAGAUUUCCUAGAAAUUGACAAUUUGAGGGUCAUCUAUAAGUCAUAUUAUUUGAAAUAGGAUAGUAUGCAAGAUCACCUAUGAGUUGAUAGCUUGCAGGCCAUCUGUAAGACACAACAACAUCCUAACUGUAUAGUGUGAAAGAUCGCCCAAAAGUCGAUAGUUCAAAGGUUAUCCAUAAGUCGCAACUAAAUCCUUACCAAAAAUAUGCAAAAUUAUCAAAUUGAUACGUCCAAAGGUUCUCUAUAAGCCGCAUCAUAUCCAAGAUCGAUUAUGUGUAUGAUUACCCAAAGACUAACAAUUUAAGGGAUUAUCUAUAAGUCAUGUUGUAUCCAAGGUCGGAUGAUGUGCAGGAACACUUGAAAGUUAGCGAUUAGAGGGAUAUCUAUAAGCCAUCUCUUAUCCAAAGUCGAAUAAUGUGCAGGAUUACCUAAAAGCUAACAAUUCAAAGGAUAUCUAUAAGUUUCCUCGUAUCCAACGUCAAAUAGUGCGCAAGAUUAUCCAAAGAUUGACAAUUUAAGAAAAACUUAUAAAUUGAUCAUCGGCUAUAACCGGAGAGGUUUUCAUUCCACAUACAACAAGUGAUAUAGGUAACCAAAAGGGUUGCCACUCCAGCACAAGAUUACACGGUUGUAGGGACCGUUCUGGAUAAAGUAUCGCCGGUGUCCCCCACUUGGAAGACACAUUCAACCGACAAAUGUCACAAUUAUACAACAACCAAGAGGGUUGUUGUGUUUGUUAUUGCCAGUUAUUUCAUUCCAAAUAGGUACAUGAAGAGAUGACUCCGCUUUUCAGGCCACAACUUACUUAAAGAUAUGGUAAAAGACUACAUACCUCUAUCGUGAAUUAUGUUUAGCACUAACACUUUUUGCUUGAAGCAUUUUCGAGAGCAUCCGAUAGGAUGAAAAUCUCAAAUCAAAACAACAGCUGUAGACGACUUCAAAGAGGAUGCAACACAAUGCGGAACUCUUUCUCAGUAGCAAAAUGGGACAUACUCUAGAGAGGGAUGUCAAACUCUCUAGACGCGAGCUAAAUGAUGAUCACCACCACCAUCUAACCACGCCUCUAUUAGAAGGCAUGUGGAUAUUUUUGGAUGUUCUUGUCUCAGUUUUACCUCUGGGAUAUUUUCUUAACUCAUACCGACGAAAACUUUCUUUUUCUUUCAAAUUCGGGUGGCAACGCACUUAGAGUUUUGGAAAUUAUAUUCAGGUAAAUUCUUGACUAUGGAUGUGAAGGAUACCACAUUCAUGGUUAAUAGGUUACAAUCCUCUUUUUCGCAACUCAAUCAACUUGUCACUCAUUCUGAGCCAAAGAUAGUCUGAAAUAAAAGACUAUCUUUUCUACCGAUUGAGUCGAACUACAAGCAGUCUGAUUUCCUGAAAUCUUGGGGAUAUGUAGGUUGGGAUCUAUGUAGAAAACUAGACUGCAUUCCAACCUCCCCCCAAAUCCCUCUAUUCCCCAGCUUUUCGGCUUUAUCGAGAAUUCCAAAAAUCGAGACAACUUGUGAAUUUUUUAAAAAUUGUGCUUUAAAUCAAGCCUUAUGAACUACAAGUAACCUUAAUUCUCAUGUAACCUGAGAUAUGUGAGAAACCCAAUACCGAGGUUCGGCCAUAAUUCUUGCAACUGGUACGAAAACCCACCUCUUUCCCAUUCGAAUUUGUGGUUGAACAAAAUUAGGAACGUCAACCUCCCUUUGCCAAGGGUUGCUUGCAUUCACCCUACCCAAAAAGAGGGAGCAAUUGUUGACACCUAAUUUUUGUUCUCCACGACUAAGUUUAAUCCCGAAUUUCUUGAAUAUUAAAUAAAAUCACAACAUAUAUUUUUUUUUGAACAAAGAUAUUUUUCACAAUUAUUCAGGUAAAUUUGUAAACUUUAAGUAAAGAUUAUAUAUUAUCGUGUUUUAUAUAUAUGAUAUCAUAUAAUUUGAUUACUUGUAUAUUUAUUAAAAUAUUAGAUUUUAAUUAAGUCUUAUUCCAAAAAUAUUUUUAAUAAGUUGAUUUUAAGUACUACGUGUUCUUGAAAUAGCUUAUACGGAAAUAAUUAAGUAAACAUAUGUGUGUGAGUUUAUCAAGACAAGAAGCUCAGGUUAAAUGAGGUAUUAAUUCAUUUUGAAUUUUGAUUCAGUUUAGCCAAUCUAUUAGGAACGCCAUAAUCGAAAUCCAAAUGGCCAUAAUUGCAAUGCAAUUGGCCAAUUGAUUUCAAUUUGGCCAAAGCCUAAAUAGAAUUGGCCAAUUCCCCAAUAAUUAAAAUAGCCUAAAGGUAGACCAGCUUUAGUACCACUAAACCCAAAGUCACAUCCUCCAAACGGCCCAACAUACGCCAGAAACCAUUAAAAUCCACAUAACUCUCUCCUAGCCCAAUCAAUUAAGGCCCAAUUUUAGCAUCCCAUCAGUCAAUGAGGAUUUUUUUAUCUCUUUUCUCCUCUUCUUUCUCUUUUGAAUUGGAAGUUUUAGAGGCAAAGGUGGGUUCAAAAUAUUUUCAGAAAAGCUGAGGGUUGAAAAUAUUUAGUUUGAAAAUCUGGGGGGUUUCAAAAUCUCUAAGAGAUAAAGCAAGGGGAAACUCUGUUGGUGGUCGACGUCACGAGAUUUCGAUAGCAACAAGUUUUCUGAUAGCUCAUCGUUCCGUUUGCUGCCCCGAAAGAGGUAAAUGCAUGCUCGUCCCUUUUUCUACUUCAUUUUGAUGUUUCCUGCUUCAUCCAUCUUUCUUCGUAGAAGUAGUUAUCUAUGUAUCGUGAAUGAUGCUGGGUUGUCUGUUUGGGCUGUCUGUUGUAAAGGUCUUUAAGACCACAGAGCAUAGUUUGCUGAAAUGGCUGCUUUUCGUGUAAUUAUAUGUGGUGUCAAAUCGCCAGCUUAGCUGUUAAGGAAUACUGCUUGAGUCUCACAUGCCUGUCUCAACUUAGUAAUCUGCUACUUGAUUUUCAAUUUGUUAAUUAGUUUUUCGAUUCGCUGCUGUGUAUUGGUAUUGAUCAUGGAUUUAAUCCACUGUUUCACUUCACUGGUUAGCCGACGUAUCAUGUUAUAAUUGGUAUUAUGUAAAAGUUUCACGUUUUAAUAGUUGUAGGUCUAAUAAUAUCCUGUUACAAAUGAUCCUACGUCAAGUUCGUGUUUUGCAUUUAUUUCAUAGUUUCAGGGUGCGGGUAUGUUGUUAUAUCUAAUUUCGCGGGUAAGGUUCAGUAUUUUUACUUGUUUAGUAAGUGUAGAGCUGCCAGAGUUUUGUUUACCUGAUUCGACGGUUAGAGUCGCGUGUUUUGGCACUUAUCAAAGUUCUGUUGGAAUUUUAUUGAUCUUUUCAUGACCAAGGUCUCCUAUUUUGGUUCUGUUUGAUAAAUUUGGGAUUUCCAAAGUUCGUUUACCUGAUCUCAGUGUUCCUUUCAUUAUGGUAUUGUAAAGUUUGAACUUGUUAUUUCACCUUCGAUUUCAUUCUAAGUCGAUAUGUCUAUUUGUUGGAUCCCCCAGGGAAAUGUAAUUGUCUUAUUGAAAUGUAAUUGUCUUAUUGAAAGAGGAUGGGUAGGGUCCCUUCGAUAUUGUAUUUGAGUCUGAAUGAUAUUGUAUAAUGAAGAUAUGAUCUUGACUUUCAAAUGACCCAGUUUAUGAACAUCCUUCGCAUUUCGUUCGAAGCCUGAAUGUUUAAAUUUUGAGGUUAUAAUAUGUGAAAAGAUUAUUUUGACCAUUAAGAGAAACGAGUCUUUCGUUAUGUGUUUGGGAUUCCCCGUGUUUCAUUCUUGGUGUUUUAUAUAGUGUUCUAACGAUGUGUUUGAGGUAAAUUAUUUGGGUGGAUUACUAGUGUUAGCUAAAGUUCCUCAACUCAUUAAUUAAUAUGAAAGAUUUAAGCAGGUGGCAGUGCAUUUGAUGUAAGGGAAAUUCUCCCGCUUUGCUCAAACUAAUUUUCUUUGAUUGCCUCUCCAUGGUCCGAUAUUUUGAGUUUUCUAUUUGUUAUUUUCCAACUAAUCUUAUAGGAUUUUGAGGGUAAGCAUAGGAAAGAUUUUGACUCAGAAUGUUGUUUGCCUAUAUGAACGCACCCUCACACUUCUCAUUAGCCUUAUGGCUUUGUUUUGACUGACUAGGAGUUAGUUUGCUCUGUGAUGUCUUUCCUUUAGAUAGUCAUAUGUCAUGCAUCUUAUUUUUUUUAUUUGUUUCCUUGAUUUAAUGUUUGUGUUUCUCUCCUUUAACUCCCCUUUUCCUUUUCUUUCUUAGUUGAUCAAAUAUUAAUGGUCAUUACUUUCUUGCUUUGCAUGAACCCGCUUGAGAGUCCAAACGAACUUUUUCCCUUGCGUUUCGUACUGGGCCAUGGAGGCCCAUCCUUUAGGAGACUUUUAAAAGCAAAUUUCAUGGCAUACAGAUACAAGAAGUCAAAAGAGGAAUAAUGGGUUAAAAUCCCAUACUUAAAGCGAUGAUGAAGCUCGAGCCUCAUUUUAGUUUCUUUAUUUAAUGUCAUUAUCUACCUAUUGUUGUCAUUUUAUUAUCAUUUAUUUCCUCUUUUUUCUGUCAUUAUUCAUUCAUUUGGGC